UACAGAGGGUGCAAGCGUUAUUCGGAAUUAUGGGGCGUAAAGAGCGCGUAGGCGGUCUGAUAAGUCUGGUGUGAAAUCCCUGGACUCAAUUCAGGAAGCGCAUUGGAUACUGUCAGACUCGAGUACAGGAGAGGUGAGCGGAAUUCCCGGUGUAGAGGUGAAAUUCGUAGUUAUCGGGAGGAACAACAGUGGCGAAGGCGGCGCACUGGACUGUAACUGACGCUGAGGCGCGAAAGGGUGGGGAGCAAAUAGG
This 253-nucleotide ribosomal RNA is filed under the name uncultured bacterium. RNAcentral's name for it is "partial 16S ribosomal RNA". It matches the Rfam family "Bacterial small subunit ribosomal RNA", at positions 524 to 776 of the family's 1533-position model. The record is from RNAcentral.